This 448-nucleotide ribosomal RNA is filed under the name uncultured bacterium. RNAcentral describes it as "partial 16S ribosomal RNA". It matches the Rfam family "Bacterial small subunit ribosomal RNA", at positions 338 to 795 of the family's 1533-position model. The record is from RNAcentral.
CCUACGGGUGGCAGCAGUGGGGAAUUUUGGACAAUGGGGGCAACCCUGAUCCAGCCAUGCCGCGUGAGUGAAGAAGGCCUUCGGGUUGUAAAGCUCUUUCGGCCGGGAAGAAAUCGCUCAAGCUAAUACCUUGGGUGGAUGACGGUACCGGAAGAAGAAGCACCGGCUAACUACGUGCCAGCAGCCGCGGUAAUACGUAGGGUGCACGCGGUGAUCGGAAUUACUGGGCGGAAAGCUAGGACAGAUGGGAAAUCCCCGGGCUUAACCUGGGAACUGCGUUUGUGACUGUGGUGCUCGAGUGCGGCAGAGGGGGGUGGAAUUCCACGUGUAGCAGUGAAAUGCGUAGAGAUGUGGAGGAACACCGAUGGCGAAGGCAGCCCCCUGGGUCGACACUGACGCUCAUGCACGAAAGCGUGGGGAGCAAACAGGAUUAGAUACCCUAGUAGUC